This is an RNA transcript of Arabidopsis thaliana (thale cress), 689 nucleotides long. RefSeq lists it as uncharacterized. The record is from RefSeq. NCBI's taxonomy places the organism in Eukaryota, Viridiplantae, Streptophyta, Magnoliopsida, Brassicales, Brassicaceae. The transcript has a single exon.
CUUAAAUUUCUUCUCUUUGCUUCUUCUCUCUCCACCGCCGUCGUCGUCGUCUCCGAUUUCCAUAAUGAACUUCUUAAUUUUUUAAUCCGGAAUUAUCUCCGGAAGUAUCAUGAGUAGAUAGAUGUUGAAGCUUAUAGAAUCUCUUUUUUUUUUGGUCCCUUAUUCGCUUCCAUGAACAUUUCAUAUUUUGGAUCUAUGAUUUAGAGUAAUAGGAUAAGAGUUAAUCAUAUGUUUGUUUUGAUUCUGGGAAUAGUAGAUGAUGAAGAUGAUGACAUAUAGCAGGUACUUAAGAGCAGUCUGUAUUAUCCUUGGAAUGUUUCUUGGUGCAGCUUUAUCUUUUGCUAUGCCAGAAUCUUCCGGAUACUCAGUCUGAAUGACUUUUCAAAUCAGCUUCUUUCUGAUUCACUCAUCUACUAGUUCUUCUUGAUUUAACAAUCUCAAUGUUUGUUUCUCGGAUAGUUUUCACUCCAAAAAUGAAAAAGUUUUCUUCUUCGUGAGGAUGUAACAUCCAGUUUAGGUUUGUUUUUUUAGUGUUAAUAUAUAUGAAUGUUUUCUUACUGCAACUUUAUAGAGCAGCCAAUGUUUGUUGGUUGUGUGAUUGAUUAGAUUCAGCUAUAAUGCUUGUUCUUUAUGUGUUAUGAACUAUAGAGGAAAAAAAAACAGAAGUUGGUUGCAUCCUCAUGUUAAUG